Molecule: ribosomal RNA, 495 nt
Filed under: uncultured bacterium
Lineage: Bacteria
Description: partial 16S ribosomal RNA
Rfam family: Bacterial small subunit ribosomal RNA
Source: RNAcentral
GACGAACGCUGGCGGCGUGCCUAAUACAUGCAAGUAGAACGCUGAAGGAGGAGCUUGCUCUUCUGGAUGAGUUGCGAACGGGUGAGUAACGGGUAGGUAACCUGCCUGGUAGCGGGGGAUAACUAUUGGAAACGAUAGCUAAUACCGCAUAACAGUAGAUGUUGCAUGACAUUUGCUUAAAAGGUGCAAUUGCACCACUACCAGAUGGACCUGCGUUGUAUUAGCUAGUUGGUGGGGUAACGGCUCACCAAGGCGACGAUACAUAGCCGACCUGAGAGGGUGAUCGGCCACACUGGGACUGAGACACGGCCCAGACUCCUACGGGAGGCAGCAGUAGGGAAUCUUCGGCAAUGGACGGAAGUCUGACCGAGCAACGCCGCGUGAGUGAAGAAGGUUUUCGGAUCGUAAAGCUCUGUUGUAAGAGAAGAACGAGUGUGAGAGUGGAAAGUUCACACUGUGACGGUAUCUUACCAGAAAGGGACGGCUAACUACGUG